This 225-nucleotide ribosomal RNA is filed under the name Acinetobacter pittii. Its description in RNAcentral is "partial 23S ribosomal RNA". It matches the Rfam family "Bacterial large subunit ribosomal RNA", at positions 1 to 219 of the family's 2925-position model. Lineage: Bacteria; Pseudomonadati; Pseudomonadota; Gammaproteobacteria; Moraxellales; Moraxellaceae. The record is from RNAcentral.
GUUGUAUAGUCAAGUAAUUAAGUGCAUGUGGUGGAUGCCUUGGCAGUCAGAGGCGAUGAAAGACGUGAUAGCCUGCGAAAAGCUCCGGGGAGGCGGCAAAUAUCCUUUGAUCCGGAGAUUUCUGAAUGGGGGAACCCACCUACUUUAAGGUAGGUAUUGCAACAUGAAUACAUAGUGUUGCAAGGCGAACGAGGGGAAGUGAAACAUCUCAGUACCCUUAGGAAA